AAAUGAUGCAGAUAUCUUCAAUAUCACACAAAAACCCUUAAUAAAUAAAAAGUUUUAAAAGUCUAUAAUAAUAUUAUUAUAAAUUUUGUGGAACAUUUCAACUCACCACAGAUUUUUCCUGGUAAAGCCUCAGACUUGGUUGAAGAUAUAAUUGACCAUCUUCCUUAGAGCUGCUAUCAUAACUGCCAAGGAGGUCCAUGUCCUCAUUAUCUUAUUGUCCAUUUGCUUUCAGAAAUAACAUUAUACAUGUAUAAAAAAAAAAUAUCAGAUGCACUUUACAGUUUUAACAAAAUCAGUUUUUUUGAAAAUUUCCCCUCAUCAAUUGUAGUUACCCACUAUUUCUCAAACCCUCCAAAUCUAUUAUCUAUAUAUAGAGCUCUGCUUACAUAUUUUUUUUUAUUUACAGAGCUCUAAAUAAUAGUCAUUUUAGCUAGUAUACAUCUGAUAUUUAAAGAAAAUGUGUACAAAAAGUGAAUAUUUAAAUAAAAAAAGUUAUAUUCCCUAUAAACACUUAGGAAAUUUAAAGUAUGAGGAGUAUAACAAGGGAAUUACCUCCCCUUGCCUUGAAAAUAUGACCCUGUCGAGACUCCACAUCCUUCCUAUAUUUAACAACAAUACAAAAUAUAGUAUAAUUAAAAUGAAAAAAUAAUACGGUAUGUAAAAACUACAACACAUUUCAAAAACUAAUUUAGUACUUUUAACUUUUACCUAAGGGCCUUAGUGGCAGUGGUCUAAGAAGUAUUAUUGUAUCUCUAGCAUGUCAAAAUGAGGUUGAGAAUUCAAACCCAACCUGUGGUAGGUGUGUUUGACUCAAAGCUUAAUUGACUAGAAUUGACAGUUCCCUGGGGGAAAAGUUGGUGGGUAUCUACUGUUACUUUUAACUUUUUCAACCCAUAAAAAAUGGCCAUCAAGAUAUUACAAAUUGGGCUGAAAGUGGCAUUAUACACCAAAAUUCAAUCAAUCAAUCUUUUUUCACCAAUAUGUUCCUUUACUCUGCUUCUUGUGAAAUAAUUGUAAUUUGUUUAGCUAAAAGCACUGCAAAAAAAUAACAAAAAGUUGUAAAAAUAUCUAACAAUUCAGGAAACUCAAAAAACACAAUACAUUUUUUUUUUUUUUUUUUUUUUUUUUUUUUUUAGAUUCUCCAUUCUGAACUGACUGGAAGCCUUUGGACUAGACAGACCAUUAUUAAGUUUACAAGUAAAAUUGGUCUGUUUCAUUUCAUUUUCAAAGUAAAAAUGAAAUACAGUUACAGGGGGUGGGGAAUAACGAAUAAGAUCUAAAUUAUGAAACAGUCUCCAUAAGCACGAUAAGAAAAGUAAGAGUAAUUUUGAAAUUUUAAAUACAAGCUUCCAAUCUAGUUGAAAAUGGAGAAUCUUUACACAUUUUUUUUUUGUUUUUUUUUGUUGUAAAAAAUUACAUUUUUUGAAACAUAUACAAAAAAUUUCUGACUAACAUUCUUCACUGUUAUAUCACAUAAUCAAUGUAUGCGGCAGCCAGAGUUUCCUGUAAAAGAAAUAAACAUUCUUAAACAAAUGAUCAAACCUAUAUAAAAAUUUAAACAUCAUCUGAUACAAUUAUUAGCAAAUAAGGACGAAAAAGUAAUCAAUGUGUGUCUUGAUUAAUUUUCGUUUAUUCUUUUUUAUGAAUCAUUGCGUUGGUUUUCGUGUUUAAAAUUGUUUCACAUUUUGUCAUAUUCAGUACCUCUUAUUGCUUACUUUAAAACUGGUACUGUAAAUCAGAAAUUAUUGCAUGCAUCUAUUCUUGUGAUUUUUUAAUAAAGAAUAAGACAAAAAUGCAAGAUUAAUAUUACUAUGAUUACCAGAUUUCAAUAAAAAUCUAAAAAUCAAAGUUAUGUUAUGAGAUGAUGAAUAAUGAAUGAAUGAUAUUCACUAUUGUGAUUUCAACAUAUUUCAUAUGUAAUUAUUGAUUAUUUUGCUCAUUGCUAAUCUGAAUGUGUUAUGCAUGAGAUGACUGUAAUUGAUUUUGCUCAUUGCUGAAGUCUUACGGUGACUGUAAGUUGCUUCUCUUAUUGAUAGUUGUGUAGUUGGCAAUCUUAUAACCUCUCUUUAUUCUUAUAUACCCUUAUGAUUACCGGUAUAAUUAAAACUUUUAAUUUGGAAAACAUUUUAAAAAUGUUAGAUCUACAUGUGUACAUAAUAAAAUCCAUGGUGCAUUUACAUACUCUUGGAUGAAUAGUUCAAUCUAUUUUUUAGUUCUUACCAUAAAAUUCAGCUCCAAUGGCCCUUUCCCAGCUUCAAUCCUUACAGACAAGCUGUAGUGCUAACCUGAAAUAUAAAAUGCUUAGUCAAUCAAAAUUGUUUUAAAGGAUCACUUCUGGAAUACUCUAUCUACGUUACAGGUAUAUAAAAUGGGUAAAAUAUAUAAUAAUAGACAUCAAACCAACAACCCAAUUCAAUCCUAUAAGGGGUAGGUUUAAAAAAGCUAAAGUUGGCCACAAGAUUUUAAUCUUUUUUGAUUCAGGCCCAAAAACUACAAAUUUGACAUAUACAUUGUUGUGGUAUCAUUAUUGAUACAAAAUAACCACAUCAUCUUUUUGGCACCUCACAAUAUAAACUACUAAGUUAUGACCUGUUGAUUAUGCAAUUCUGCUGUUUUCGCAAAAGCGCCAAUGAAGGCCCAAUUUUUCACAAUUCAGAACUUUUUUUAGCAUAAUUCACUUUCCCUGAUCCAGAAAUAGUUUAUGUCUUGUAAUUUAAAUAUUACCCUUAGCACCUUUAGUUUAUUAAACAUUUUGGACCAAAGGUAUUCUUAAAGCUUUUAGGUCAGAAAAUCCAUAAAAUCAUCGCAUUUUGAUGAUAUCUCCCAAUAUAGUUAAUUAUAGAGUCUACAAUGUAUUAUAAAGAAGCGAUUUAUUUUAUGUUGCAUUAAGUCUUUUGAAAGAUAUCCAUUGAAGAACCAGAUGGGGCAUUUUUUGAUAUUCUAUGAUAAAGGCUGAAAUUUAAAAUCUAUACUAAGGCCAUAUUUUGCCAAGUGAACAUUGUCAUAUAUGGUACUGAUAAAAUAAAGAGUAUACUGUUGACCAAACUCUUAUAAACCUUUAACCCUAAAGUCAGUAUUUAUUUCCAAAUAAUAUUAUUUAUAGAAUUAUUUUCUUUUAAACAGGAUUAAUAUUACUGGUACCUACCUACAUAUUAGCUGUAUUAGACCACCAAGUCUUAUUCCCACACCAUGAAAACAUGCCACAGAAAGUAUCUAAAAAGAAAUUAAUACAUUUAUUAAUUUUACAAACUAAUUUAUAUGUCAACCUAAAGAUUACUUUACAAAUUGUUCUGAUUUCUUACUUCAUGUACCAAUAGUUUAACAUUCACAUAUUUUGUAAUAUUUAUAUAAAAGAUUGAAAAACAAACAAAAAUAGUCAAAGGUUUAUGAUUUGAAUUCUGCACUCAACUACUUUGAAUAAUGAAAAUGAGUUGUCUCCCAUUGAAUAAACAAAUCUUGCUGUUAAUUAAACUAGUCUCCCCUUGAAAGUUGAUUCCUAUCUCAGGAUUUACUCUCGUAAUUGUAAUAGAAAUUCUUGUUAAUGUACCUGCUAUCUCAAAAUAUUAAACUUGUAAAUAAAUUCUUCAAAGAUGUUUUUCAUGCAGAAAAUAAAGAUGAAUAUGUACUUUUUAACAAUUAUACACAUGUAUUUCUAGAAAAUGUAUAGAAAUUGUUUGACUUCAAUAAACUUGCCUUCUCAAUUUCAUGGUUAAGCCUCAGACUUGGUUGAAGAUUUUAUUGACCAUCUUCCUUUGAGCUGCUCUCCUGGCUGCCAGGGUGGCUGUCAUCAUUAUCUUAAUUGCAAUCUUUCAGUUUUUGGUCCAUUAUUUAUAGAAAUAAAUAAAAAAUAUCAGAUGCACUCUCAAUUAAUCACAUAUCUUGAAAAUUUCACCAAAUCAAUUCUACCCGUAAUGACCCAUGAUUUCUCCCACCCUCAAAACUAUUAUCUAGACCUCUGUUUACAUUUUUUUUAUUUACAGAACUCUGAAUAACAGUCAAUACAUUUUUUUGUAUUAGCUAGUAUGCAUCUGAUAUCAAAGCAAAAACAAAUGUGAAAAUCAAGUAAAUAGUUAUAUAUUCCCUACCAUGAGGAAAUUUCAAGAAUGAGGAGUUAAACAGGGGAAUAAUUUAUUACCUCCCAUUGCCAAAAAUUUCACCUGUUGGGACUCCACAUCAUUGCUAUAUCUAACAAAAAUACAAAAUGGUAGAGCUAUAAUUAAAAAUAAAUAAUUUGAUAUAAAAUAUUCAAACAUUUACAAAAAAUAUUUAGCACCUUGGUGGUUCUCUCCCAUUACUCUGACUUUCUCAACCAUUAAAAAAAUGGUCACCAAGAUAUAAUCAAUAUUGCUGAAAGUGGUGGUUAACACUAAAAAUCAAUCAAUCUUUUUUUCACCAGGAUGUUUCUUUACUAUGAUUAUUUUGAAAUAAUUUGUUUGAGCUAAAAACAAUGCUAAAAAAAAAAAAAACAUUGGAAAAAUAUUUAUAUCAUACAAAUAAGAAAAAUAAAAAAAAUACAUUUCUUUUUUUUUUUUUUUUUUUUUUUUUAGAUUCUCCAUUCUUAACCUACUGGAAAUGUUUUGAAUACACAUGGACCAUUAUUAAGAUAGUCUCAAGUAGGUCUACAAGUAAUAUUGUAAAAUUCUGAAGUAUCAAUUUAGCAUACAACUUCCAGUCUUGCUGAAAAUGGAGAAUCUUUACAUUUUUUUUUUUUUAUUUGUGAUAAAAAUUAUAAACAUUUUUUCAAACAUACACAAAAAUAGUCUGAAUUACAUUCUUUUUUGUUUCAGUUGUAUUGCACAAUAAUUUCCUGCAGCCACAGUUGAAGUCACCUGAAAAAGAAAUAUGCAUUCUAAUAUCUGUCAGAACAAUAUUCAAUGCAAAGUAACUGGUUAUUGCACUGAUGAUGCAUAGAAAAUUGAUUUACUUUGUUUUAAAGUGAUGUGUUGACAUGAAUUUACAAACAACCAGUCUUCUUUAGCAAACAAGGGAUGACAAGUAGUUGGUUGUUGUCCAACAUAUUUGUUAUUAUUUCAUUGUUUCAUCAUAAAUCUAGCUGUUGGUUUUCUUGUUUGAAUUGUUUCACAUUUUUUCAUGUCGCCUACUUUCUGUUUCAUAGUUAAUUGUAAAGUAUAUGUUUUGCUCAUUGUUGUAGGCCAUACAGUGACCAUUAGUUGCUUACAUCCAUGUCAUUUGGUCUCUGGGAGAGUUAUUUCAUUGACAAUGAUCUUCUUACUUUAUAUGGGACAAUUUUAGAAAACAGAUUUUCUAAGUAACAGUAUAAUUUUUUAUUUCCUUUAUUUAUCUUCAUACCUCCUAAUGUCCUCCUUCCAGAUUAUAUAUACGAUUAUAGUUUUAAGAAAAAUUAAAGUAUACUACUUCUCUGCAUAAUUAAAGUAUAAUACUUCUUAGCAUAAUGAAGAACUAGGUUUGUACAUGCUCUUUGCUGAAUAAUUCAUUAAUUUAUGUACUGGUUCUUACCAUAAAAGCCAGCUCCAAUGCCCAUUCCCAACUUCAAUCCUUACAGACAAGCUGUGAAGCUAAUCUGAAAUAUAAAAUGUUGUCAUAUUAUUAAUAAAAUGGUUUAAAAGGAUCACUUGUUACUGUAUUAAAAUUAAAAAGAAAUGGGUUAUAUUCAUGUACUAGAUGUUGAGAACAUAUUGACUAGACAGCAAUCCAACAACAUAACAAACCAAAUAAUCAUGUUAGAUCCUUCAAUUUACACUAUACAUUGUAUUUGUACUGAUAUCAAAAGAGAGGUAGAAAUAAAUAACAGAAAUUUAGUGUUUGAUUAUUUCAAGGCAAGGAAAGUAAAAAAUGGAUCUAAUUAUUUUUUAUACAUGUACUACAUUUAUCUUUUUUUUCUUUCUUCUUUUCGAAACUGUAUACUGGUACCUACCUAUAUAUUAGCUGUAUUAGACCACCAAGUCUUAUUCCCACACCAUGAAAACAUCUCACAGAAAGAACCUAAAAUAUAAAAAAUUGACAAUUUAUAUACUUUAUAUUUCCAUUUCCCCUACAUUUACCAAUAUUGUUCAGAUUUCUGACUACGUGUACACAAAAGUAUAACAUCAAUAACUGUAAAAUCAAUGUAAAAGAUGAAAAAUAAAAAAAAAGUCUUAUAAAUUUACUUAUUGAAUUUCAACUCCACAAAAAUAAUGGUUUAAACAUAUUUUAUUGUUCAUAAAGGUAAAUCAUCUGCACAUUUUACAAUGAGUUAUCUCCCAUUGAAAGGCAAAAAAUAACAUUUUACGUUAGCAACAUCACUUUCUCCACUGUAACUGCGUUGUAUGCUCUAAAUAUACACUUUUUAUCAAAUAAUGUAUAGAAUGUAUAGAACUUGUUUGACUUAAUUAAACUUGCCUUCUUAUUUUCUUGGUAAAGCCUCAGACUUGGUUGAAGAUUUAUUUAACCAUCUUCCUUGGAGCUGCUACCAUGGUUACUUUUUCAUGCUUUUCAACAUAAUUCUUUGUGCUGGUCAGUUCACUGAAUCCAAUUUAUGCACUUAACGAAAUGUCCUUUCCAUUGUAUUUAAUCAAGUGUACAAUUGUCCCAAGAAUGUUCCAAAGCAUCUCACAAUAUUUUCUUUUUCCAUUCAUGGCAGUUGAAGUAAUUCUCAAUGUAAUAUACAAAUAAUAUUUUUAAUUCAUACAUAAAAUACAGUAAAAAUACCAGAUGUGCUUUUAAAUUGGUAACCUGUAUUUUCUUUUAUUUAGAGAGCUCUAAAUAAUAGCUCUUAUAUUAGUUUGGAGACAUCUGAUAUGUAAAGACCUAAAAAAAAGAGGUAAUAAAAAAAGAACAGAAUAGUAAUUGGCUAACACCUAUAAAUCACAAACAUUUUCUAAUAUUUUGGAGCAUAGUUUAAUAAAAUAUCCCUUCUUUUAAGUUUAUCAUCAUGCACAUCAUAAGCAUGAAAAUUAUACUCCAAAAAUUGAUCAUAGCCUGAAGUAGCUCAGUUGUGCAAAUUCAUAUUUUCCUUUAACAAUGGAGAAUGGUCUUUUAAAUACUGAAAUUUAAAUACGGUAUAUGGAAUUUUAAAAGGUCAAAAAUUGGUGAUGACAAUCAAUCUUAAUCAAUUUGCAUGCUCAUUAUGAGAGUUCUAAAGAUAUGAGUUCGAAACAAAAAUUGUUACCUUCUUAAAAAGAUUUUAGAUAAAAAGCUCCCAAUUCAAGAAAAAUUAGAAAAAUUAUAAACAUUUCAAACUGCAGUUAAGUUAUAAUUACACAAAACUGGUACCGUCUGUAAAUUUUAAUAAAAGUGGGGAAAAUUCCUCAAACAAUUUCAUACUAGGAGUUACACAACUUCAACAUGAGUGCAAUCUUUCAUUGAAGUUUUGAUGGUACAAGAAACACUGAAAAUAUAAAAUACAAAUUUAUUAAAUGCAAAAUAGUGGUAUGAAGUAGAAAAUCUUUUUAGGACCAAAUUUAGAAAGAAAAAUUGUGAACUAAAGAAAUGGUAAAAAAAUGCUGAUUCUUUAGAAUAAAAAAACAAUUGUCCAAAUUCAAAUUGCAUGUGAUAAAAAUCAUUAAAUUUUAAACUUUAAUAACUGAAGAAAAAAGUUCCAAAAUUUACAAUUCAAAAGAAACAUUUUUGUUCCCAAAUCAAGUUUGAUACAUGUAUCAUAUUAAUUGGUGAUGUCAAAAUUUUGUUUUUCAUAAGACUGCUUCCAAAAACCUCUGUUUGAAAAGAAGAGAAAUCACUGAUAUCUUGACAUUAAUAGAGAUGGACUAGCACAAGGUAACUCUUGGAAUGACUGGUUCCUUAAAUGGAGGAUAACAGUCAGAACUAGCUCCAGUCAAUACACAGACAGGAAACAGCUCUUUUUGGCCAUUUGUAGAGGAAACAAAUCCCAUGUAAUAACGUAAAUAGUUUUUUUCCAUCUUCAAAUGAUAAAAAAAGCAAUUAUUUAAACCCCCAGGGGUGGUUCAAGCCAUUUCUAAAGAGAGGGGGCUCCCACCAAGGAUAAAAGGCAGGGUUCAAACUAGUUUAUGUUCUGAUUCAAUUGCAUUGAUCAUCAAAAAAAUUGUAAGGGUUCCCCAGAACCCAGUGUCUCAACGACUUUUGCUGUUAAUCCCAGGCUCAACAAAAAUGAGGGGAAAAAAAUCAAUAAAAAUAUUCCUCUAGAUAUUAUCUUUUGAUUGUAAGAAGCUUCUGUCCAAGUUUGGUAAAAAUCCAGGAUAGUUUAUGAAUCUAAUAAAUGUUUUAAAAACUUUAACUUCAGAUUGUAUUUAAGGUUAACUAAGUCCAUUUAUAAGUAAAAUACGGAAAAACAGGAACAAAGUUUUAAAUAAUUUUCCUUCUAGAUACUAGCUUUUGAUCGUAAACAAGCUUCUGUCCAAGUUUGUUACAAAUCCAGAAUAUUUUAAGAAGUUAUUAAAAUUUUAAAAACUUUAACCACAGAGUGAAUGUAUUGUAUCCUGGCAUUUAUAAGUAAAAUAUGGAAAAAUUAAUUUGUUUUAUUUACAAAAUUUACUUCUGGAUACUAUCUUAUGAUCAUAAACAAGCUUCUGUCGAAGUUUGGUAGAAAUCCAGAAUAGUUUUAGAAAGUUAUUAAAAUUUCAAAAACUUUAAGCAAAGAGUGAAUAUUUGUGAUCGCCAACGACGACGCCGCUGACAGAAUGUAGGAUGGCUAGGUCUCAUUUUUUUCAACUAAAGUUGAAGGCUGGACAAAAAGUAUUAAUGGUAUUUUACAUUUACAGUUACAUUAAGUGAAAUUCCCAGUAAAAUAUAUAAUCAGCAAAAUGCAUAGUAUUUUUUUUUUAUUUGAAUUGUCUAUAAAAGAUUCACUUAUGAUAAUUCUUAUAACAAUACUUCAGGGAUUGUUGGAGUAAUUAAACUAUAUUGGCAUGUUUUAAUUUCUAUGGCACCUUCAUCAGAAUAAAAACUAAAGAGUACAAAAUGGUGAAGUGAUAAUUUGUACUUCACAAUGGAGGAAAAAGAAGGUAAUAAUGGGAGUAAAGUUUAAAAAGAAUGUUAAAUAAAAUUUGUUGAAUAGUGUUUAAUCAAAUUUUGCAGAGGUACAUGCUUCCAAUUGGCUUCGCUCAGAGUUACUGCCUCUAAUUGGGACCACUCUGCCGGGGGUACUGCUUCUAAUUAGCUUUAGCAGACAGAGGUAUAUAUGUACUGCUUCCAAUCAGCUUCGCAACAAGACAGAGGGUAUGUGCUCCCAAUUAGCUUCACUAAGAGGUACAUGCUUCCAAUUGGCUUCGCUCAGACAAACAUACUUCUUCCAGUGUUGAAAUAGUACGGUAAGCAAGUCUGUACUACAUCCAGCAUCGUAAAUGGUACAUAAUUGCAAGUCAAAUGUCGUCCAAAUUUACAAAAACAUAUUUUAUUUAACAUUCUUGAUCCAGUUAAAGUUCACAUCUACGUUCACUCCCUAUUUGUAAUUUAUCCUGAUGGUGUCAUUGUGAAAUGCAAAUUAUCAUUACAGAAUUCUGUACUCUCCUUUAGUUUCAAUCCUGAUGAAGGACCCAUAGGAACCAAAAUAUGUCUAUCUUAUUGAUUCACUGUAGCAAUCCCUAGUCUUUUUCUUAUCUUUUGAUUGAAAGAAGCAUCUGUUCAAGUUUGGUAAAAAUCCAGAAUAGUUUAUGAAUCUAAUAAAUGUUUAAAAAACUUUAACAGCAGACUGUAUGUAAUGUUAACUUGAAGAAAAACUAAGUCCAUAUAUAAGUGAAAAACAGAAAAAAUGGAAUUUUAUUUUUACAAAAUUUACUUCUGGAUACUAUCUUAUGAUCAUAAACAAGCUUUUGUCCAAACUUGGUACAAAUCCAGGAGAAUUUAAGUAAGUUAUUAUAAAUUUUAAAAACUUUAACCACAGAGUGAAUGUAAUGUUUCCCAGGAGAAAAACUAAGUCCAUAUAUAAGUGAUAAACAGAAAAAAUGGAAUUUUAUUUUUUACAAAUUUACUUCUGGAUACUAUCUUAUGAUCAUAAACAAGCUUUUGUCAAAAUUUCAAAUUUUUAUAACCACAGAGUGAAUAUUCGUUGUCGCUGCCAAGGACGACGCAGUCGACGGAAUGUAGGAUUGCUAUGUCUCAUUUUUUCAACUAAAGUCAAAGGCUUAUAUACAACAUUUGAGGCUUAAUGAUAAAACUUGAUUUCAAGUAUGUUGCAAGCAAAAAGUGAAUACUGUGGAUUCAUUAUUAUUGACAGUUUUUUUAUUUUUUAUUCAUGUGAACCACAAAUUUUAGUUUUUCACAAGAUUAUUUUUUGGGGAUUUGUAUGGAGAAUUUGUAAAAUGUCUGAAUGAAAGCAUAUUAUUGGGGAUUAGAGUUGAAAAAUUAACCCAAGAAUGAGAUAUCUAACGCAAAUCAGAUUUUACUACCAUUUAACGCUAGGGAUGAUUAUUUAAAUUUCUCUGGGAAAUGAUGAUAGUUUUAGAUAACUCAGAAUGAAAUUUUUUUUUUAGGGGGUGUGUGAAAUGAUUUAAUUAAUUGCUUUCCCAUUUGGUUAAAGAUUUAAGUGAUUUUUAUAGAUAAGAGAUACAUCCAAUUAGAUUAUAAUUUUGAAAUGUUACUUUUACUUCACCAUUACCUUGUUGUUCGCAAUAAGUGCUUUAAAGAAACAGAUACCCUGAAAUAAUUUUGUUGACGCUCAAGUAAAUAACAUUUUGGGACAUUUUUCACAAUACUGUAUUUGAAUUCAAUCUAAGAUACAAAUAUCUAUUUAAUUUUUCGUGUUUCCAAUACAUCAUAAUAUGUCAAAUACAAUUUAGAAUUUGAUUUAAGACAUUUGCUUUUGACAUUGUUUCAAAAAUUAUAAAAAGUUCAAAGUAGCUUUAAGCUCCAAAUUGUUUUUUUUUAAUAUUUAAAUGACCGUACAAAUAUCAAAUACUUUCAUUUCAGAAUUACAUAUGAAGAUUCCUUUGAAAGCAGAACACUUGAAAACCAUAACACCAUCCAAAGAACAAAUGAAAAAACAGAAGAAAUAACCAGACCCUAACUACUGAAAGCUACACCAAAAAGAAACUAUG
RNAcentral lists this long non-coding RNA (10970 nucleotides) under Mytilus galloprovincialis (Mediterranean mussel). Lineage: Eukaryota; Metazoa; Mollusca; Bivalvia; Mytilida; Mytilidae. The record is from RNAcentral.